GCUCUCUGGAGAAUCCCGGCAACGGGUGCCGAAGGUGUAAGUGGCAGAUGCCAUGAAUCUCUCAGGCAAAAGGACAGUGUGAAA
Molecule: non-coding RNA, 84 nt
Filed under: chicken gut metagenome
Description: Glycine riboswitch
Rfam family: Glycine riboswitch aptamer
About the family: This family represents the bacterial glycine riboswitch. Glycine riboswitches usually consist of two metabolite-binding aptamers domains with similar structures in tandem.
Source: RNAcentral